CCUACGGGAGGCAGCAGUGAGGAAUAUUUGUCAAUGGGCGCGAGCCUGAACCAGCCAAGUAGCGUGAAGGAUGACUGCCCUACGGGUUGUAAACUUCUUUUAUAAAGGAAUAAAUUGAGGCACGUGUGCCUUUUUGUAUGUACUUUAUUAAUAAGGAUCGGCCAACUUCGUGCCAGCAGCCGCGGUAAUACGGAGGAUCCCAGCGUUAUCCGGAUUUAUUGGGUUUAAAGUUAGCGUAGAUGGGUUGUUAAGUCAGUUGUGAAAGUUUGCGGCUCAACCGUAAAAUUGCAAUUGAUACUGGCAGUCUUGAGUAAAGUAGAGGUAGGCGGAAUUCGUGGUGGAGCGGUGAAAUGCUUAGAUA
Molecule: ribosomal RNA, 361 nt
Filed under: uncultured bacterium
Lineage: Bacteria
Description: partial 16S ribosomal RNA
Rfam family: Bacterial small subunit ribosomal RNA
Source: RNAcentral